UAGUCAUAUGCUUGUCUCAAAGAUUAAGCCAUGCAUGUCUAAGUAUAAGUUUUUUACUGCGAAACUGUGAAUGGCUCAUUAUAACAGUUAUUAUUUCCUAGCCGGUCAGUUAUUCCUUGGAUACCCAUGGUAAUUCUAGAGCUAAUACAUGCUUACAGACCCAACUUCACGGAAGGGUUGCGCUUAUUAGAUACGAACCAACCCCGCAAAGGAUUCAGUUGAUUCAUAGUAUUCUGGCGAAUCGACUUUCAGUCGAUGAGGCUAUCAAGUUUCUGACCUAUCAGCUUCCGACGGUAGGGUAUUGGCCUACCGUGGCUUUGACGGGUAACGGAGAAUUAGGGUUCGAUUCCGGAGAGGGAGCCUGAGAAACGGCUACCACAUCUAAGGAAGGCAGCAGGCGCGUAAAUUACCCAAUCCUGACACAGGGAGGUAGUGACAAGAAAUAUCAAUAUAAGACUUUUGUGUCUUGUAAUUGGGAUGAGCGGAACUUAAAUCGCUUCUCGAGUAUCAAUA
This 513-nucleotide ribosomal RNA is filed under the name uncultured eukaryote. Its description in RNAcentral is "SSU rRNA". It matches the Rfam family "Eukaryotic small subunit ribosomal RNA", at positions 21 to 549 of the family's 1831-position model. The record is from RNAcentral.